RNAcentral lists this long non-coding RNA (706 nucleotides) under Apteryx haastii (Great spotted kiwi). RNAcentral's name for it is "lncRNA (ENSAHAG00000009211.1)". The record is from RNAcentral. Lineage: Eukaryota; Metazoa; Chordata; Aves; Apterygiformes; Apterygidae.
GGCUUUGCACAAGCUCGCACGGGCCUCUACAGGCUCGCAGAGGCCUGCUACGGGCUUGUGUGGGCUCGCACGGGCGCGCACGGGCUCGCAAAAGUUCGCACGGGCCUCUACGGGCUCGCAGAGGCCUCCUACGUGCUCGUGCGGGCUCGCACGGGCGCGCACAGGCUUGCACAAGCUCGCACGGCCCCCUACGGGCUCGUACGGGCUGGCAGGGGCUGACACGGGCUUGCACAAGCUCGCACGGGCCUCUACGGGCUUGCAGAGGCCUCCUACGGGCUCGUAUGGGCUCGCACGGGCUUGCACAAGCUCGCACGGGCCUCUACGGGCUCGCAGAGGCCUCCUACGGGCUCGUAUGGGCUCGCACGGGCGCGCACGGGCUCGCACAAGCUCGCACAAGCUCGCACGGGCCUCUACGGGCUCGCAGAGGCCUCCUACGGGCUCGUAUGGGCUCGCACGGGCUGACACAGGCUUGCAAAAGCUCGCACGGGCCUCUACGGGCUCGCAGAGGCCUCCUACGGGCUCCUACGGGCUCAUGCGGGCUCGUACGGGCUGACACGAGCUCGCCCAAGCUCACACGGGCCUCUACGGGCUCGCAGAGGCCUCCUACGGGCUCGUACGGGCUCGCACGGGCUCGCACGGGCGCGCACAGAAUGACAAGGGCUCGCUCAAGCUCGCACGUGCCUCUACGGCCUCGCAGAGGCCUCCU